This 465-nucleotide ribosomal RNA is filed under the name uncultured bacterium. Its description in RNAcentral is "bacterial SSU rRNA". It matches the Rfam family "Bacterial small subunit ribosomal RNA", at positions 338 to 795 of the family's 1533-position model. The record is from RNAcentral.
CCUACGGGGGGCAGCAGUGGGGAAUUUUGGACAAUGGGCGAAAGCCUGAUCCAGCAAUGCCGCGUGUGGGAAGAAGGCCUUCGGGUUGUAAACCACUUUUGUACGGAACGAAACGGUUCGCUUUAAUACAGUGGGCUAAUGACGGUACCGUAAGAAUAAGCACCGGCUAACUACGUGCCAGCAGCCGCGGUAAUACGUAGGGUGCGAGCGUUAAUCGGAAUUACUGGGCGUAAAGCGUGCGCAGGCGGUUAUAUAAGACAGUUGUGAAAUCCCCGGGCUCAACCUGGGAAUUGCAUCUGUGACUGUAUAGCUAGAGUACGGUAGAGGGGGAUGGAAUUCCGCGUGUAGCAGUGAAAUGCGUAGAUAUGCGGAGGAACACCGAUGGCGAAGGCAAUCCCCUGGACCUGUACUGACGCUCAUGCACGAAAGCGUGGGGAGCAAACAGGAUUAGAUACCCUUGUAGUC